This 556-nucleotide ribosomal RNA is filed under the name uncultured Polynucleobacter sp. RNAcentral describes it as "bacterial SSU rRNA". It matches the Rfam family "Bacterial small subunit ribosomal RNA", at positions 31 to 590 of the family's 1533-position model. Lineage: Bacteria; Pseudomonadati; Pseudomonadota; Betaproteobacteria; Burkholderiales; Burkholderiaceae. The record is from RNAcentral.
CUACGCGGCGGCAUGCCUCACGAUUAGUCGAACGGCAGCACGGGCUGCUUGCACCUGAGGCGAGUGGCGACGGUAUAUACAUCGGAACGUACCUUAUCGUGGGGGAUAACGCAGCGAAAGUUGCGCUAAUACCGCAUACGCCCUGAGGGGGAAAGCGGGGGACCGUAAGGCCUCGCGCGAUUAGAGCGGCCGAUGUCUGAUUAGCUUGUUGGUGAGGUAAAAGCUCACCAAGGCGAUGAUCAGUAGCUGGUCUGAGAGGACGAUCAGCCACACUGGGACUGAGACACGGCCCAGACUCCUACGGGAGGCAGCAGUGGGGAAUUUUGGACAAUGGGGGCAACCCUGAUCCAGCAAUGCCGCGUGAGUGAAGAAUGCCUUCGGGUUGUAAAGCUCUUUUGUCAGGGAAGAAACAGCAGCUCUAACACAGUCUGCGAAUGACGGUACCUGAAGAAUAAGCACCGGCUAACUACGUGCCAGCAGCCGCGGUAAUACGUAAGGUGCGAGCGUUAAUCGGAAUUACUGGGCGUAAAGCGUGCGCAGGCGGUUAUACCAGACA